AGUAAGCUAAAUUUUGAACGAAUAAAGCGUUGGAGCAGGACGCAAAUAUAUUUUACGGUGUAGAUUUAACAGAAGAUUUUCAUUUUUUUGCUUCGUGAAAAUCUCAUUAAAAUAGCAAGAUUGAGAGACCAUACUUGAAGAGGUCUUUCUGAAUGAUCUGCAGAGAAACAAAGUGCUAGAAAGAAAAGAGGCAUCUUGAGGUCUGCCUUCUUGGAGUUUUCAGUAGUACGUCUCUUCUUUCCACUCUUUUAGGAAGACAUCAAGAAUGAUCACAUGAAUGUGAACACAGGGGAGAUUUGAUUUGGUGUCCACAUCUACAAAUACAGAGGGAGAAAAAAAUGGAAAGAAAAAGCCUCCCCUGAGAAGAAAGGGAGUGAUCCCAUUAUAAAUGAGAGUCAUACAUCCUUUCUGGAGGCGUGUUGAAAUUUCCCAUGGGAGGAAGAAGAAUAAACAAAGAGUGCUGCAGCUUUUUUUUUCCAGCAGUUCAAAUCUAUGUGCUAGCUUUGGACAGCAGACAGAAGACCGUGUUAUGGCAAACAUGACUUUCUCAA
Lagopus muta (rock ptarmigan) is the source of this 551-nucleotide long non-coding RNA. RefSeq lists it as uncharacterized. The transcript has 3 exons. The record is from RefSeq and is a predicted model, not a curated record. NCBI's taxonomy places the organism in Eukaryota, Metazoa, Chordata, Aves, Galliformes, Phasianidae.